GUGAAUCAUCGAAUUUUUGAACGCAAAUUGCACUAUCCUCGGAGAGUAUGCCUGUUUGAGGGUCAGCCGAUAAAAAAACGACAUCGAUGUGGUUUCGGGGUGGCGUUCGACGGAAAUUGGGCAAUCUUAAAUAUUUAGGUUUUAAGGGGCUUAAAUCUUUAUUUUGGUUACAUGAAGGUUUCUAAGAUCUAUGACUUAUCACGCUUAA
RNAcentral lists this unclassified non-coding RNA (208 nucleotides) under Glomeraceae sp. RNAcentral's name for it is "partial contains 5.8S ribosomal RNA and internal transcribed spacer 2". The stretch from base 1 to 65 matches the Rfam family "5.8S ribosomal RNA", at positions 84 to 154 of the family's 154-position model. The record is from RNAcentral. Lineage: Eukaryota; Fungi; Glomeromycota; Glomeromycetes; Glomerales; Glomeraceae.